RNAcentral lists this ribosomal RNA (253 nucleotides) under uncultured bacterium. RNAcentral describes it as "partial 16S ribosomal RNA". It matches the Rfam family "Bacterial small subunit ribosomal RNA", at positions 524 to 776 of the family's 1533-position model. The record is from RNAcentral.
UACGGAGGGUGCAAGCGUUAUCCGGAUUCACUGGGUUUAAAGGGUGCGUAGGCGGUUAGGUAAGUCCGUGGUGAAAUCCUGCAGCUUAACUGCAGAACUGCCAUGGAUACUAUUUAUCUUGAAUGUCGUGGAGGUUAGCGGAAUAUGUCAUGUAGCGGUGAAAUGCUUAGAUAUGACAUAGAACACCCAUGGCGAAGGCAGCUAACUACGCGAUAAUUGACGCGGAUGCACGAAAGCGUGGGGAUCAAACAGG